GACGAACGCUGGCGGCGUGCCUAAUACAUGCAAGUAGAACGCUGAAGAGAGGAGCUUGCUCUUCUUGGAUGAGUUGCGAACGGGUGAGUAACGCGUAGGUAACCUGCCUUGUAGCGGGGGAUAACUAUUGGAAACGAUAGCUAAUACCGCAUAACAAUGGAUGACACAUGUCAUUUAUUUGAAAGGGGCAAUUGCUCCACUACAAGAUGGGCCUGCGUUGUAUUAGCUAGUAGGUGAGGUAAUGGCUCACCUAGGCGACGAUACAUAGCCGACCUGAGAGGGUGAUCGGCCACACUGGGACUGAGACACGGCCCAGACUCCUACGGGAGGCAGCAGUAGGGAAUCUUCGGCAAUGGGGGCAACCCUGACCGAGCAACGCCGCGUGAGUGAAGAAGGUUUUCGGAUCGUAAAGCUCUGUUGUAAGUCAAGAACGGGUGUGAGAGUGGAAAGUUCACACUGUGACGGUAGCUUACCAGAAAGGGACGGCUAACUACGU
This 496-nucleotide ribosomal RNA is filed under the name uncultured bacterium. RNAcentral describes it as "partial 16S ribosomal RNA". It matches the Rfam family "Bacterial small subunit ribosomal RNA", at positions 28 to 506 of the family's 1533-position model. The record is from RNAcentral.